CAUGAACCGCAAAAGCGUUGGAACCACCUGAUCCCUUCCCGAACUCAGAAGUGAAACGACGCAUCGCCGAUGGUAGUGUGGGGUCUCCCCAUGUGAGAGUAGGUCAUCGUCAAGC
Molecule: ribosomal RNA, 115 nt
Filed under: Pseudomonas aeruginosa
Lineage: Bacteria; Pseudomonadati; Pseudomonadota; Gammaproteobacteria; Pseudomonadales; Pseudomonadaceae
Source: RNAcentral